UUUUGCUAUUCUUGCAUGAGGCUCUUAAAAUGAUUUUCAAGACGCAGUGUGAAUGGUGCUUCAGUGUGAUGGUCUUAUUUUAUCCUCUUUAGAACCUUGUAAAGUAAAUAGAGAUGUGGUGUCUGAAUGGCCCGAAGGGAAGACACUGAGCAUAGGAGUGACUGAAUAGAUGGAGACGAGACCAGAGCCAGCACCAAGGAAGCAAAUUUCUUGAAGCAACUAUUUCAGAUCAGAAGCCAAAUGAUGGUUAUAUACUCUCUUCUCUCAUUUUCCUUUAGGUUUUUCAGGAAUAUUGCCCCAGACUGUACAAGACGAUGAUGAAUGCUCAGCUCUUCCAUACUCCUAACGUGGGUUUCUUACAGUAUCAGACAUUUUUUAAACACUGUGCAAUUAAUCAAGUGGACCCAAUUCAAUGUCGAAACAUUUUUGUAGACUGUUUUGCAAAAGCUGUGAUGCUCUCUUAAUACUCACUUGAACUUUAUUCUUCAAACUGAUUAACUUUGCCUUUUCCUUCUUGUGAAAGCCUGCAGGUAGGUACCGAUCCAUUCCAAUUAUUAUCUAAUGACGAUAGAGACAGAAUCCUAGCUAACAGCUUCCAUCUGUGGUUAUGCAUAAAAUAUCUGCUUCUGGCAAGUGACACUAUAUGCAAAUUAAAAUUUGAAUGCUGCAGGAGUUACAUAAUAUAUUCAUACAUGCCUAAAAUAGAGAUUUCCCCACUCUUUCACUAUCUCCCAUUUCUGUAAUGCUUAGGAACUUUAUAAAUACAAUUUUUUAAAUGAUGCUUUUAUUUCUAUUCACUAGUAUGCUUAUUUUGGUUCUCACAUUAAGAUGUUUUAUAAAAUAUAUUUAAUAAAUGAAUAUUAAUUUAAGUGCUGAGAUUGCUUGCCAUAAAUCUGUAAUUCUUAUAGUGCCUCUAAGUGAAUAUUACAAUAUUCCUCUAGAACCUAAGAUUUAGCUUACACUUGUUGCCUUAAGGCCACUUCUGUAUCUGCUGCUGGCAAAACUACCCAUCCAUAUGACUCACUGUAUCCAGACUUAACAAUGGAUUUAAAAAGAUUUUGAAACUCUUA
Cavia porcellus (domestic guinea pig) is the source of this 1070-nucleotide long non-coding RNA. RefSeq lists it as uncharacterized. NCBI's taxonomy places the organism in Eukaryota, Metazoa, Chordata, Mammalia, Rodentia, Caviidae. The record is from RefSeq and is a predicted model, not a curated record. The transcript is spliced from 2 exons.